RNAcentral lists this ribosomal RNA (253 nucleotides) under uncultured bacterium. RNAcentral describes it as "partial 16S ribosomal RNA". It matches the Rfam family "Bacterial small subunit ribosomal RNA", at positions 524 to 776 of the family's 1533-position model. The record is from RNAcentral.
UACGAAGGGGGCUAGCGUUGCUCGGAAUCACUGGGCGGAAAGCGCACGUAGGCGGAUUGUUAAGUCAGGGGUGAAAUCCUGGAGCUCAACUCCGGAACUGCCUUUGAUACUGGCGAUCUCGAGUCCGGGAGAGGUGAGUGGAACUGCGAGUGUAGAGGUGAAAUUCGUAGAUAUUCGCAAGAACACCAGUGGCGAAGGCGGCUCACUGGCCCGGUACUGACGCUGAGGUGCGAAAGCGUGGGGAGCAAACAGG